RNAcentral lists this transfer RNA (75 nucleotides) under compost metagenome. Its description in RNAcentral is "tRNA-Arg". The record is from RNAcentral.
GGCCGCCUGGCGAGCGGCCUCCAGGCCAGCUUCGGCCUGGCCCAGUUCUGCCUGUUCGGCGCCGGCACCGACCGC